RNAcentral lists this transfer RNA (70 nucleotides) under Dipodomys ordii (Ord's kangaroo rat). It matches the Rfam family "tRNA". From Rfam's summary of the family: Transfer RNA (tRNA) molecules are approximately 80 nucleotides in length. Their secondary structure includes four short double-helical elements and three loops (D, anti-codon, and T loops). Lineage: Eukaryota; Metazoa; Chordata; Mammalia; Rodentia; Heteromyidae. The record is from Rfam by way of RNAcentral.
GGGAAGGUGGCUCAGUGGUAGAACGCUUGCCUUGCAUGCAUGAGGCCCUGGGUUCGAUUCCCCAAUACCA